GACGAACGCUGGCGGCGUGCCUAAUACAUGCAAGUUGAGCGCUGAAGGUUGGUACUUGUACCAACUGGAUGAGCAGCGAACGGGUGAGUAACGCGUGGGGAAUCCGCCUUUGAGCGGGGGACAACAUUUGGAAACGAAUGCUAAUACCGCAUAAAAACUUUAAACACAAGUUUUAAGUUUGAAAGAUGCAAUUGCAUCACUCAAAGAUGAUCCCGCGUUGUAUUAGCUAGUUGGUGAGGUAAAGGCUCACCAAGGCGACGAUACGUAGCCGACCUGAGAGGGUGAUCGGCCACAUUGGGACUGAGACACGGCCCAAACUCCUACGGGAGGCAGCAGUAGGGAAUCUUCGGCAAUGGACGAAAGUCUGACCGAGCAACGCCGCGUGAGUGAAGAAGGUUGUCGGAUCGUAAAACUCUGUUGGUAGAGAAGAACGUUGGUGAGAGUGGAAAGCUCAUCAAGUGACGGUAACUACCCAGAAAGGGACGGCUAACUACGUG
RNAcentral lists this ribosomal RNA (497 nucleotides) under uncultured bacterium. Its description in RNAcentral is "partial 16S ribosomal RNA". It matches the Rfam family "Bacterial small subunit ribosomal RNA", at positions 28 to 507 of the family's 1533-position model. The record is from RNAcentral.